Molecule: ribosomal RNA, 253 nt
Filed under: uncultured bacterium
Lineage: Bacteria
Description: partial 16S ribosomal RNA
Rfam family: Bacterial small subunit ribosomal RNA
Source: RNAcentral
UACGUAGGCAGCAAGCGUUGUUCGGAGUUACUGGGCGUAAAGAGCUCGUAGGUGGUUUGUCGCGUUGUUCGUGAAAUCUCACGGCUUAACUGUGAGCGUGCGGGCGAUACGGGCAGACUAGAGUACUGCAGGGGAGACUGGAAUUCCUGGUGUAGCGGUGGAAUGCGCAGAUAUCAGGAGGAACACCGGUGGCGAAGGCGGGUCUCUGGGCAGUAACUGACGCUGAGGAGCGAAAGCGUGGGGAGCGAACAGG